Small nuclear RNA from Otolemur garnettii (small-eared galago), 105 nucleotides. Lineage: Eukaryota; Metazoa; Chordata; Mammalia; Primates; Galagidae. The record is from Ensembl.
GUGCUUGCUUCAGUGCACAUAUACUAAAGUUGGAAAGAUACAGAAAAGAUUACCAUGACCCCGCACAUGGAGGACAUGCAAAUUCAUGAAGAAUUCCAUUUUUGA